Long non-coding RNA from Oryzias latipes (Japanese medaka), 2578 nucleotides. RefSeq lists it as uncharacterized. The record is from RefSeq and is a predicted model, not a curated record. Lineage: Eukaryota; Metazoa; Chordata; Actinopteri; Beloniformes; Adrianichthyidae.
ACGCCAUAAAUACAAAGAAUUCAGUGUAAAAAACACCACGUCGCCCUCUAGAGGAGGCACUGCAAGCUACCGCUGCUAAACUGCAAGAAGAAAAGUAGACUUGCGAGGUCUUUGCAAAGGCCCAAAAGUAAAAAGAAUUCGGAAAACACAACCCCAGAAUAAACCAGAGGGGUUGAUUCCACUAUAUAUGUUUCUUUCUCAAAGCUUUGUCCUUCUGGUAAAAUACAUUUUUUGGCAGGAAGUCAGUUGUGCAAAAAAGACUUUCUAAAGUGUCUCAGAUGUUCUUCACACAUGUGAAAUGACAAGUUUUAGUAUCCAGACUGGGGAUCGUUGUAAUCAGCUCAGCUGCUGUUUUCUGCUUAUUACUUUAAGCUUUCCUACUAAUAACACAAACAUACAUUUAACAUCAGGAGUCCCAGAGGAAAAAAAACACACAAGGUGUUAGAGAAGGUUUUUGUUGCAACGGCCUUGUUGACCAACUGUUUUUGUCACUUACAAAACCACACACAUAUUUCUGUCGUUUUUAGCAGAGAGGCUGGCCACGGAAAAAGACAAACACACACACACACACACACACCGUCCUAUUUCUGCUGCAUUCAGUCUUGUCAGUCAAAGAGCGAAACACCUUCACUCCUCUGUGUCGUAUCGUUGGUGAUUUUGACCUUUACCCAAGAACUAGAGUACAGUUUCACAAUGAUUCUCAUCUCCUUGAUCACAGCAGCUCUGCUAACAGGAUCUUUUGGAAAAGGUUUUACAGAUUGCAGCUUUAACGAAUCAAAGGAAACUUCAUGUUUCACUGCAGAUCGAAAAUCUGUUCAUUUUUAUCUGUCAUACGAAUACCAUAGUGGCAAGAAGGAGCUAAAACACGGCAAGUCCGUACUCUUCCAGGUGGACCAAAAUGGAAAAGUGAUAACUGAUCACCAAUAUUUUAAACUUGUUAAUGGAACAAUCAAAUUGAACAAUGUCUCAAAGACAAAUGCUGGAGUUUACACCUUUCAAGAGUUUAACCCUGAUGGCAAAGUACUGAGAAAUUCCAGUGUGAAUCUCAGAGUACUUGCUCCUGUGUCUGUGUUAACGGUGUCUCAGCAGUGUUUGUCACCAGAACAGCAGAAAGUCACCUGCUUCUAUGAGGGAGAUGAAGCAGAGCUCACUCUGACUUUGAAUGGUUUCUUACUUUUACAAACUAACAAACACAGUCAGUCCCUGAACAAUGACACAUCUGAUAGAUCCAGUGUGUUUAAUGUUUCCAUCAUCAUACAUGGACAGCUUUUUGGAAACAUCACGUGUAAAGUCUGGAACGAUGUCAGCAGAGAUGAGACGGUUAAAACCAUCACUGCUUGCAACGGUGCAGUAUACAUUUUCCUCAGAGAAAUGUUGGACAAAUUCAAAUCAUCAGUUUAUGUGGCUGUAGUUGCUGCAGUGUUGCCACUCUUAGUUUUUGUUGCUUUGACUGCCACUCCUAUUGGAAAUAGUAAAAAACAAAAAGCAGAAAAUAGGUAUGAUUUUGACAUUUUACAACAUAAACCCCCAGAUGACUUAGAAACUAAAGUUAUCUUCAUGAAAGUUAAAGUGAAAUAAAAAAUUGAGAAAAACUGAAGCCAAACUCCAAGAUAGAGUUUGACAAUCAUUUUGAUUUAUCCCUUAAUUAAAGUAUUGUUAAUAUGUCAUUUUGUUCUUCUGUCUUUGCUUCACUGAAGACAAUUUUACCAAUGGAUAGAUUUACUUUACUUUAAUUUCAAAGUUUAUGCUGUAAGAGUUGUAAAUGUACGUGAAAUGUUUGUUUUUCUAUAUGUUGCCACAAGAUGAAGCCACAUUACUUCUCUUUAUCAACCUGUUAGACUGAUAUGUUUUUUCUUUCUUCUUAAAUGCCAUUUUAUGAAACUCUUUAAGGUUAAUGUGUCUUUUCUUCAUUAAUAACGCAUUGGUAUUUUUAAUGUGUUUUUAAUUUUGUUAUUUCUGAAAUGUUUAUCGAAGAAAAUAAAAUCCCAGUCAUGAAGUCUAUAUGGGCUGACAUAGAGAGAAAUUUUAUUUUUCUGAAAUUUUGAGAAUGUACAUGAACCACUAUUCUACACUGUAACAGCUGGAAAUACAAAUUGUUUGGUGGAAUUGAGCUCAUGAGGCAGAAGAUAAAAUAUAUAAAAAAGCAGUAAAUAUCACGUUAAGUCAAUGAUGCUGGAAAAUAUAAAAAGUGAAUAGCUGUAAAUGCAUGAAUAUUCUAUCAUGAGUAUUAUAUAUGUUAUAUUUUUCUUGAUCUGUUACUGUUUUUUGCUUCUCUUUUAAACAAAACUGUAUUCAGUUGUGUCUUUUGUGCUGUGUGAACUGUGUAAAUCUGUAAUAUGAAUGAAUUUAGCUUUAGAAUAUCUGUAAAAAAUGAAAAUGAAAAUCAUUUCAGACUUACGUCUUUCAAUUAUUUUGUAGUUUCUCUGCAUAUUUCAGUCCACAUUAUAGGUGUUAGUUUGAAAGUUUUAAUAGUGAGUGACAUUAUAAUGUCCUUUAAGCACUCAAAGAGAAAAAAAUAGCACUGUAGUCCAGACAACCAGAAAUGUGAUGUCCACAAAUGUAAAUACUAUUAAACAAU